This 72-nucleotide transfer RNA is filed under the name Camelus bactrianus (Bactrian camel). It matches the Rfam family "tRNA". From Rfam's summary of the family: Transfer RNA (tRNA) molecules are approximately 80 nucleotides in length. Their secondary structure includes four short double-helical elements and three loops (D, anti-codon, and T loops). Further hydrogen bonds mediate the characteristic L-shaped molecular structure. tRNAs have two regions of fundamental functional importance: the anti-codon, which is responsible for specific mRNA codon recognition, and the 3' end, to which the tRNAs corresponding amino acid is attached (by aminoacyl-tRNA synthetases). tRNAs cope with the degeneracy of the genetic code in two manners: having more than one tRNA (with a specific anti-codon) for a particular amino acid; and 'wobble' base-pairing, i.e. permitting non-standard base-pairing at the 3rd anti-codon position. The record is from Rfam by way of RNAcentral. RNAcentral also lists the same sequence under 3 other names. Lineage: Eukaryota; Metazoa; Chordata; Mammalia; Artiodactyla; Camelidae.
GUGGAUGUUGCUCAGUGGUAGAGCACAUGCUUAGCAUGCACGAGGUCCUGGGUUCAGUCCCCAGUACCUCCA